ACCUUGAAAUACCACCCUUUAAUGUUUGAUGUUCUAACGUGGACCCGUUACCCGGGUUGCGGACAGUGUCUGGUGGGUAGUUUGACUGGGGCGGUCUCCUCCUAAAGAGUAACGGAGGAGCACGAAGGUUGGCUAAUCCUGGUCGGACAUCAGGAGGUUAGUGCAAUGGCAUAAGCCAGCUUGACUGCGAGCGUGACGGCGCGAGCAGGUGCGAAAGCAGGUCAUAGUGAUCCGGUGGUUCUGAAUGGAAGGGCCAUCGCUCAACGGAUAAAAGGUACUCCGGGGAUAACAGGCUGAUACCGCCCAAGAGUUCAUAUCGACGGCGGUGUUUGGCACCUCGAUGUCGGCUCAUCACAUCCUGGGGCUGAAGUAGGUCCCAAGGGUAUGGCUGUUCGCCAUUUAAAGUGGUACGCGAGCUGGGUUUAGAACGUCGUGAGACAGUUCGGUCCCUAUCUGCCGUGGGCGCUGGAGAACUGAGGGGGGCUGCUCCUAGUACGAGAGGACCGGAGUGGACGCAUCACUGGUGUUCGGGUUGUCAUGCCAAUGGCACUGCCCGGUAGCUAAAUGCGGAAGAGAUAAGUGCUGAAAGCAUCUAAGCACGAAACUUGCCCCGAGAUGAGUUCUCCCUGAGACUUAGAGUCUCCUGAAGGAACGUUGAAGACGACGACGUUGAUAGGCCGGGUGUGUAAGCGCAGCGAUGCGUUGAGCUAACCGGUACUAAUGAACCGUGAGGCUUAACCUUACAACGCCGAA
Molecule: ribosomal RNA, 753 nt
Filed under: Salmonella enterica
Lineage: Bacteria; Pseudomonadati; Pseudomonadota; Gammaproteobacteria; Enterobacterales; Enterobacteriaceae
Description: partial 23S ribosomal RNA
Rfam family: Bacterial large subunit ribosomal RNA
Source: RNAcentral